Molecule: non-coding RNA, 30 nt
Filed under: Homo sapiens (human)
Lineage: Eukaryota; Metazoa; Chordata; Mammalia; Primates; Hominidae
Source: RNAcentral
UGGUGCAUAGCUCCUCUCAGGUUCCCCAGA